CCCAUUCAAUAUUCAUAAUUCAUUCUUCCCAAGUUCCACUUCCACUCUUCUCUCUCCGUUGGCCUCGACUUUGUACUUCUCGAUCUGCCACUCAGCCGCUUAGGGAAGAUUCCACAUUUCUGCCGGCCUUCAACGUUCGAGCCCUAGAUGCAGUACCUUCAAGCCCUUGAACUUCUCUAGAUGCGACAGCCGACAGCAGUCCUUCGAAUCUACAUUUCCACGAUUCAACAGCAGAAGAAGAAGGUGAAGCCCCUUAACUCUGAUUCCUAAACCGCACUCAAGUUCUUCUUAACUUUUCUUCUGUUAAUUACUUAUUUUGCUUUGUGUUUUGUGUACUGUUGUGAUUUUUUCUUUUGAACAUAUGAAAUUACUUUUGAAUUGCUUGAAGUCUUGAAUUGUUGUUAAAUUACUUUUGAAUUGCUCUUUAAAUUAGACUUAGAAGCCCCAGGCUUGUGAAGUCCUCGAGCCUAAUUCGAUGAAUACUGAAGCCUGCUCAAGUCUCUAUGUACUCUGUGAGUUUGCUUACUCUAUCUCUGUGAUUGAAGCCUACUUCCAUUCCAUAUUGCUAAAUGCUAAUGCUGCCUCUCUAUGACUAUGAAAGCAUUUUAUAAUUCUGUGACUGUGAAAUGCUAAUUGCUUACUCUGUGAAUUGAUUCCAGACUUUCUAGUAAUUAUUGCUAUUUGAAUUGCACUGUGAAUUGAAAACAUUUUUAAAUCUUAAUAGCUAUAAUGUUUAAAUACAGAGAUGAAAUGAAAAGAUUCUUUCAAAGAAAAUGAAUACGAUUUCUAUUGAUUGAAUUUCCUAUUAUGGAUGGCAGGAGGGCCGGGUGGCUUUGAAGGUCAUUUUUAGUAUUGUUUUAUAUUUUUAUCAUCAUUACAUCUAUGACUAAAAACUCAAUGUUCGGCAUGGACAAAAUUGUGCCCGCACUGAACGCCAAUCCUUGCUCCGCCCCUGUGUGUUAGGACAAACAAUGUAAUUUAUUGAGACUCUUUAAUUCAAUUUUCAAGAUCUUAGUUCUCAAAUUCACGUGUUGAUUUUAUUUAUAGUGUUUUAUGCAUGAAUUACUU
Molecule: long non-coding RNA, 1068 nt
Filed under: Olea europaea subsp. europaea
Lineage: Eukaryota; Viridiplantae; Streptophyta; Magnoliopsida; Lamiales; Oleaceae
Source: RNAcentral